This is a non-coding RNA of Podarcis lilfordi (Lilford's wall lizard), 73 nucleotides long. The record is from the annotation of a GenBank genome assembly. NCBI's taxonomy places the organism in Eukaryota, Metazoa, Chordata, Lepidosauria, Squamata, Lacertidae.
GCUGGGCUAGCUCAAUUGAUAGAGCAUGAGACUCUUGAUCUCAGGAUCAUAGGUUUGAGCCCCAUGUUGGGCA